RNAcentral lists this transfer RNA (69 nucleotides) under Urocitellus parryii (Arctic ground squirrel). RNAcentral's name for it is "Spermophilus parryii (Arctic ground squirrel) tRNA". It matches the Rfam family "tRNA". Rfam says of the family: Transfer RNA (tRNA) molecules are approximately 80 nucleotides in length. Their secondary structure includes four short double-helical elements and three loops (D, anti-codon, and T loops). The record is from Rfam by way of RNAcentral. RNAcentral also lists the same sequence under 1 other name. Lineage: Eukaryota; Metazoa; Chordata; Mammalia; Rodentia; Sciuridae.
GGAGUUGUGGCUCAGUGGUAGAGCACUUGCCUAGCAAGUGUGAGGCCCUGGGUUAGAUUCUCAGCACCG